GCGCCCGUAGCUCAGUUGGAUAGAGCAUCUGCCUUCUAAGCAGGCGGUCGUGCGUUCGAAUCGCGCCGGGCGCGCCA
This 77-nucleotide transfer RNA is filed under the name Pedosphaera sp. Its description in RNAcentral is "tRNA-Arg". It matches the Rfam family "tRNA". From Rfam's summary of the family: Transfer RNA (tRNA) molecules are approximately 80 nucleotides in length. Their secondary structure includes four short double-helical elements and three loops (D, anti-codon, and T loops). Further hydrogen bonds mediate the characteristic L-shaped molecular structure. tRNAs have two regions of fundamental functional importance: the anti-codon, which is responsible for specific mRNA codon recognition, and the 3' end, to which the tRNAs corresponding amino acid is attached (by aminoacyl-tRNA synthetases). tRNAs cope with the degeneracy of the genetic code in two manners: having more than one tRNA (with a specific anti-codon) for a particular amino acid; and 'wobble' base-pairing, i.e. permitting non-standard base-pairing at the 3rd anti-codon position. Lineage: Bacteria; Pseudomonadati; Verrucomicrobiota; Pedosphaerae; Pedosphaerales; Pedosphaeraceae. The record is from RNAcentral. RNAcentral also lists the same sequence under 6 other names.